This 252-nucleotide ribosomal RNA is filed under the name uncultured bacterium. Its description in RNAcentral is "partial 16S ribosomal RNA". It matches the Rfam family "Bacterial small subunit ribosomal RNA", at positions 524 to 776 of the family's 1533-position model. The record is from RNAcentral.
UACGGAGGAUCCAAGCGUUAUCCGGAUUUAUUGGGUUUAAAGGGUGCGUAGGCGGACGCUUAAGUCAGCGGUAAAAUUGCGGGGCUCAACCUCGUCGAGCCGUUGAAACUGGGUGCCUUGAGUGGGCGAGAAGUACGCGGAAUGCGUGGUGUAGCGGUGAAAUGCAUAGAUAUCACGCAGAACUCCGAUUGCGAAGGCAGCGUACCGGCGCCCAACUGACGCUGAAGCACGAAGGCGUGGGUAUCGAACAGG